AUUCUUACUGGCAGGGGAGAUACCAUGGUCAUGAAGGUGGUCUUCCUAGGGCAAGGCUUAUCCAUUGUACUGCAGAUGUGCUGACUCCUGCAAUUUCCCCAAAGGUGGGAAAUUUCGUUUGCAUGAUUUAUGGUAGUUCGGGGCUGCGUUCAUGCUCUCCCUUG
Sorex fumeus (smoky shrew) is the source of this 164-nucleotide small nuclear RNA. RefSeq annotates it as U1 spliceosomal RNA. Lineage: Eukaryota; Metazoa; Chordata; Mammalia; Eulipotyphla; Soricidae. The transcript has a single exon. The record is from RefSeq and is a predicted model, not a curated record.